AUAACUCAGCGGUUGCACUUCUGACUUUAUCAACGCGUCUUACGCUGACUUCAAUGCUUCAAUUUCUAACUUUAACAACGCGUCUCUCUUAUUUGUGCCAUCUAUCUCAUUAAGAAGCAUCCCUGAAGAAAAUCUGAACGGUUCUGAUCAUUAUGUUGAGGAUUCAAAACUGCGAUCCGGAAGAAGAUCGCAAGAAAGUUAACGAGGAAAUCAAGACUAGUGUCACAGCUUUUUGUAUCCUUGUUGGCUUGAUAAGACUAGCUCCAUUAGCAUUAAACACAUGGUAUCCCAAUAUCCAGUGAUGGUGCCAAGGAGUUCGUUUCUACUAAUAUACUCUACUCAUUGAAUCAAGAGAUGAUCAGCCUUCUCAGGAUGCUAUUCAAAAUGGGAUUAUAAUGAUGGCAGUCAAAGUUAUCGUUUCCCUCAGCACAACUGUCAGUAAGAUCUCAGUUUUUUCUGAGAGAAGGAUUUUAAAUCAGUUGUUAAAAUAAUUUUCAAUCAUGUUUGUUAUAGAUAACAAAUUUUCUUAGUUAAUCUUUACCAUAGUUAUAAAAUGCAUAAUAAAAAAUUUGUCAUGAUUCCAAA
Non-coding RNA from Bemisia tabaci, 585 nucleotides. The record is from RefSeq and is a predicted model, not a curated record. NCBI's taxonomy places the organism in Eukaryota, Metazoa, Arthropoda, Insecta, Hemiptera, Aleyrodidae.